RNAcentral lists this ribosomal RNA (465 nucleotides) under uncultured bacterium. RNAcentral's name for it is "partial 16S ribosomal RNA". It matches the Rfam family "Bacterial small subunit ribosomal RNA", at positions 28 to 507 of the family's 1533-position model. The record is from RNAcentral.
GACGAACGCUGGCGGCGUGCUUAACACAUGCAAGUCGAACGGAAAGGCCCUGCUUGCCGGGUACUCGAGUGGCGAACGGGUGAGUAACACGUGGGUGAUCUGCCCUGCACUUCGGGAUAAGCCUGGGAAACUGGGUCUAAUACCGGAUAGGAGCCAUUUUUAGUGUGAUGGUUGGAAAGUUUUUUCGGUGUAGGAUGAGCUCGCGGCCUAUCAGCUUGUUGGUGGGGUAAUGGCCUACCAAGGCGGCGACGGGUAGCCGGCCUGAGAGGGUGGCCGGCCACAUUGGGACUGAGAUACGGCCCAGACUCCUACGGGAGGCAGCAGUGGGGAAUAUUGCACAAGGGGCGCAAGCCUGAUGCAGCGGCGCCGCGUGGGGGAUGACGGCCUUAGGGUUGUAAACUCCUUUCGCUAGGGACGAAGCUUUUUGUGACGGUACCUAGAUAAGAAGCACCGGCUAACUACGUG